RNAcentral lists this ribosomal RNA (253 nucleotides) under uncultured bacterium. Its description in RNAcentral is "partial 16S ribosomal RNA". It matches the Rfam family "Bacterial small subunit ribosomal RNA", at positions 524 to 776 of the family's 1533-position model. The record is from RNAcentral.
UACGUAGGGGGCAAGCGUUGUCCGGAAUCAUUGGGCGUAAAGAGCGUGUAGGCGGCCCGGUAAGUCCGCUGUGAAAGUCGAGGGCUCAACCCUCGAAUGCCGGCGGAUACUGUCGGGCUAGAGUCCGGAAGAGGCGAGUGGAAUUCCUGGUGUAGCGGUGAAAUGCGCAGAUAUCGGGAGGAACACCUACGGCGAAGGCAGCUCGCUGGGACGGUACUGACGCUGAGACGCGAAAGCGUGGGGAGCAAACAGG